AAGUCGUAACAAGGUCUCCGUUGGUGAACCAGCGGAGGGAUCAUUAAAAAGAGUUGUAAAAGACUCCCUCAACCCACUGUGAACUUACCUAUGUCGUUGCUUCGGCAGGCGGCCCCAGGGCGGGGCCACGGCCUUUUAGCUAAGGUGCCUGCCGGAGGUUUACCAAACUCAUGUUGCUAUUGUGUCGUUCAGAGUAAAAAUAAAAUAAGUCAAAACUUUCAACAACGGAUCUCUUGGUUCUG
This 242-nucleotide unclassified non-coding RNA is filed under the name air metagenome. RNAcentral's name for it is "partial contains small subunit ribosomal RNA, internal transcribed spacer 1, and 5.8S ribosomal RNA". The stretch from base 1 to 46 matches the Rfam family "Eukaryotic small subunit ribosomal RNA", at positions 1786 to 1831 of the family's 1831-position model. The record is from RNAcentral.